GGCUCGGCGGACAGGGCAGAUCUGUCGGGAGGGAGCGGCGGGGGCGGGGGGGCUGCAUCCUGCCGCGCUAGGAGCGGUUCGUCAUACGUGCCGGCGUUUGAAAGGGAUUAACGUGGAUUUGGGGGCGGCGAUCGGCGCUCUUAGCCGGGGAGAGCUGUGGUCACGCUGCAGGAAAACGAGGACGUCAUUGCUUAUGACUUGUUUGUAUUUGCAGGCUUGACCCCAUGUGAAGAAGCUGUUCUUGAGAGCCUGGCAUUGAUUUGGGGUCAUCAAGUCCAGCCUCCCUCUUUUUCGUCUCCUGCCUGCAUCAGACUCCUCUGAUUUGUGACUCCAGUUUUAUGGCCUCAAAGAAAACCAUAAGCUAGCCUUGAGAAGAAGUUGCAUACUGGAAAUGGGACAUCAUACCCUUCAGCACAGUACCUGCACUAGCUGAAGCAUCUGUAAUCUCAUGGAAGUCCACACUAUGCUUCAUAAACAUGCCCCUCUCUGACAUGGUUCUGCUGAAAUUGGUGGAGUGACGCAUACCAGUAAGGUCUGUCUGCACAUACAGAAUGUGUAGGAGCAGUUCCUAACGCAAAUGUUCACGAAUCCUGUGGUGAAAGAAGCAUUAUAAAUAUAUUUCAAGCAAUACAAAUACAGGGAACAGAUUUGAUAAUUGCUGUGGCCAUUUGAUUACUCAUGACUGACAUUUUGAGUAGAAAAGAUGCCAGUAUAAUCUUGUCUCUCAUUUCUGUCAUUACUGGUGCCGUAUACUGUGAAGGUUUUGAGAAACUCAUAAAACCAGAUACUUCUUUUCAUCUCUGUUUCUUAGUGAUGAUGCUUUUGAAUCAUGUUGGUAAAUACAAAUAGAAGCAGCAUCAAUAGUUUUGAUAAAUGCAAGCUGUUCACUCAAAUGCCUCCAUACCAUUUAUGGUACUCAUUCCUGGGCAAAGGACAGUGCAAAGCCUAAAGAUCUCUUAGGCCCCUUUUGAAUCCUGCUCUGAAACUUACGUGUCACAGCACACUUGUUGACUCCAUGGACAGGAAGGAAAGCAUCUUUUUUGUGUAUGUUUUAUGGAGUUUCAUUAAAUAUAUUUUAGUUAUCAUUAUUACAGUGUGUGAAGCACUGCAAGUGUCAGUACAGAUGAAAAAAUGGCACAGAUCCUCCUUCCAUAUUAAAGGGUUUUCUCCUUGGUAGUCAAUUGCCAACUACCGGCUGUAGUAGUAGAAUGGCUGCAGGAACCGUGACACACCAAACAUGCUUCAACCUGCAAGACAUUUUCAGCAGAAGUACAUACAAUGAUCAUGGGAUAAACCCACCUUCUAAUUUCCGUGUUAGUUUUUCAACUCUGAAAGUCUAUUUGAAGUAAUUUUUUUACAUUUUCAGCCAUGUUUCUGUUCAGUGCUGAGCAAGAUUUGGCAGCACCCUGCAUCAUUCUAAUUCAUUCUAGCUAUUCUGUGAAAGUUAAAUGCAAUUAUGAAAAUAAAAAUGAUUUUUGAUCCUUCAGUGAGGUCAGGUUAGAGCCCUUCCUUGUAUUACAAAAAUGAUGCUUUACUACUAAUUUCUAAUGAGAGAAUAAUACAAGUAUCAGCAAUGCAAGCUUCACAACACAUCAGUGCAGCAGCAAGAAAAAGCCUGCCUGCCUCUGCUGACUUCUGGAUAUUGUUUAUCCAAUUUUCUUUGAUACACAUUUUGAUAACACUUUGAAAUAUACCAUACUUAAAUAAUGUGGUAUGUAAAAAUGGACAAGCUGGGCUCCACAAAUAAGCUCCGUUUCCAGACUAAAGCUGUUUGUCAUGAUUCAGUGAAAUUAUGAUAAAGCCUUAUGCAGUGUAAAUCUUAUGUCAACCAGGGCAUUUUAGUCUUUGUUUUAAGUUAAGUUCUGCAACUUUAGGGAAAAGAUCAUGUACAGACCAUCUUAUUCCAGACUAAUGUAUUGGCUCACCAGCUGUAUUCUAUGAUGUUUUGAGCUGCCUCACAACCUGGCCUUUACUUUCUGAUCUUUACAACUCCAUUUGCUAUUUCCCUCUUUAAGUACUAGUGUGCCUGCUUCUUUACACAUGAAUAUGUCACUGGUCAUCAUCCCAACUUCUUGCCUGUCAACCUUUUGCAAAUAUGCCUCGUUAGUCUUGCAAAAUAUUUUCUUGUGACUUCUGCAGUUGGUAGUCUGUUACCAGGAUGCGCAUAAGCAUAUUGCAAGGCAAUGGCAGCAGCUCACCAGCAUGACUCAGUACAAUGCUGCACAGGCAAAGGAUUUAAAAGUGGUUUAUAAACAAAGCAAAACCAUCAGCCUCCAUCUGGUCACGAAGCAAGUCACUUCCUGUUCCUCCGAGUACAAAAUCUUGGCAGGAGAUGCCAGCACUGUUUGGAACAUACAGGAGACAAUCUACAUGGUCAUUCUAAAGUUCCUCCCCACCAAGGUCAUCACGUUAGAGAUUCUCCUUUAAAAAGAUCCCAUCAGCCAAAAAGUUCUUGCUUCCAAGAUCCUCAGUGAGCUCACCUGGCCCAGAGAAGAGCGAGCCUUGGCUCAGACAGAGAGAAUGAGGCUUCUGUCAGCAACUGAUGCAACUGAGAAUCCCAGACUUGCACAGCUUUUCUCUAGACCCAGAAUAACUAUCCACAAGGUUUAAGUGCCUCAGCAGUACUAUAUCCUGGAUCAUACUCUGCAUAUGAUCAUCUUAGUUUUAUUUUUUUGUCAGCUUUUUUUUAUGCUCCUUGUGUUCCUGAAAUAAUAGGUAAUGGCUAUUCAACAUGUGAACAAUACUGGAUGCGUCCCAGUCCGAAUAUCACAAUGUGGAAACUUCUCCGAAUUUAUGGGGUGAGCUGGUCCUGCACAGGACUGUGAGCUGUGUGCUGUGCAGCUGGCUUAGGGGGAAAAUCUGUUACGUGGAAAUAAUGAACCAUGUUGAGUGGCUUUUUGCAUGCAAUUAUAUCAAACUGAUACCUCCAGACUCCUACUUUAAUGCUUGCUUGUUCAAAAUAAACCUGCUCACAAUCCUAAAUUACAUACAUUGCCCAGGAUUGGGAAAAUAUGCUUAAACUGAACGGAAUCUAGAAGAGAACCUAAUUGCAAGGGAGGAUUUAGAGACAUCUAAGUAAAAAAAUGUCAUUAGAUUAUUAUCUCUAUACUGAACCCCGUAACCAUGGACUUUUCAAUUGACAUUUGGACCAAAAAGUUAUACCUUGGUAGAAUAUAAAACCUUUUUAUUGUACUGGUACGCUGACUAAGUGUUGAUCCUGAUGAAAAUGAGCAGUCAGAAAUAGUUGAAGUAGCACUUAAGUGUUCCUAUAGCUGAAAUAUUUGGUGAGUCCAACUCUAGAUUAAGUGCAGUGUGAGUUAAAAAGGAAUUCUCAAAAGACAGAACCAAAAGUUCUCAAGUAAACUUUUGUCUCUUUGCAGCAACAAAGGCAAAGAUGGGUAAUCAGUUUAUGAAACAGAACAACAGACAAGAGAAACAAAAAGGAGUACCUGGGAAGAAAUUCUAAGAGAUAGCUGUGGAAAAAGGAUCUAACCUUACCUCUAAUUACAGCUGAAAGAAAUAAUAGAAAAUAUGUUUUGUAAGAAAAUUUAGUAUUUAUCUUCAUAUCAAUUAUUAUACAAAUGUUCACAUACUUCAGUAAUUUUGUGUAAGUGAAUAAUUCCGUUGGGUUCUCUGAUGAGUUUAUUAGUGCCAUCUACCCUGCUAAAUCUAAAUCAACUAAAUCACUUGCACUUAAAAAACUAAAAACCGUGAAGCAACAGCGUAUCCCUUUUACCUUCAUUGAUGGUAAAAGUGCAAACCAUAGGAAGAGAUGAGAUUUGAAGUUCUGUGACAACUUUUUACUUGUAUUUCACAUUUUUAAAAAAAACACACCACGAGGGUAUUCUGUUUUUGUUGUUACAGACCAUGGCAUACUCUGCUUUUGGUUUCUGGGUGUGUAAAAUAAAGACACUGAAAAUGACAUUCAACUAUAUACUCUUGUAAUGGGCACACUGAAGUAGACUUUACAGUAGCUCCCACACUAAGCUUUUAAUUUGAACACAGGAAUGUUGCCUCUCAAGGCAAGAAAGAAUGGUGACAUUCUUCUCAUCUGCUCUUUGAAAGAACUUUCUUCCACAGUUAUAAACACUGUCACGAAAAUGCCCAUGGAUUGGGAAAAAGGUACUGGGUACGCAAAGGGCUUAAGACUGCUGAGUGUAGAGCAGUGACUAAGGAAAGAGGAGCUCAUAGGAGCUCUGCGAGUUGCCCACAGGAUAGGAGUUACGACGGAAAGCCAUAGCAUUCAGAAAUAACUCGUGCUUGCACAGAGAUGGAUGGUGGCUGAUGGUGGCCAAUGACCUCACUGUGCAAAACUGCCAAGUGUCAUGUCACAGGGUAAUAAAUAUGCUAUUGAUUUUGUUGAUUUCUCUUGCUAAAGUUUCACCUCCAAAUGAGCAGGCAAUUGUAGAGCAAAACCAAUUAAUAACAACAGACCUUCACCUAGCUUUAUCCAAAACCUGUUCACAAGAAUCUGUGAUUUUUUUUUUUGCCAUUGAUGAGUGUAAACAAGAAUGAUGGAUACAAACCCUGGCCUUCGAUCCAAAGCCUACAGCCGAGGCCUCUAAUUCUAAUGAAAAAUUGUGAAUUGGACUGGGCAGUCUUAUUAGCUGUGUGAAUCUAUCACUGAAUUGGAUGCAGUUUCAAAGUAAUAAUGAAACCUGCCAAGGUUUGCAAACACUUAAUGAAAUAGCCACAUAAUGCAUACCACUUUCUUAUUUGCUGGGAAACAAUUAAGCUUUGUUUUGACAAAAUGGUUGUUGAUUUGUUUAUAUUUGUCUAGAAGUAAUGUAAAGUUGUGCUCAGAAAUCUAUUUUGCUAUAUAUUUUUGUGUCAAGCUGCUGCUAAAUGUCAGUUUCUGCAUGCCCAAGAAAUUGCCUGAUGGGCCAAUUUACUGGCAAAGGACUUAGGGUUAAGUAUAAGUCUGGAUUGUAACAGGAACUAAACCUCAAGCUUGUAUCUCAGAAAUAAUCUUUCUGUCUCUAUACUAUUACCUGCCUACACAUUCUCUUCUACAUGGGUAAAAAAUUAACAGUGUUAUCCUACUUACGUCAGCAUUAUAUUAGAUGUCUUAGUGAUAAGGAAACAACCUAGUGACUUCAGAAAAAAUGUUUUGUAACUUUCCCUUUACAUUCUAAUUCUAUUAUAUUUAUGUAUAUUAUAACAGUAAAUAUUCUUAUAUUUAUGAUUUUUGGACUUUAAACCAACAGGAAGUACACAUGUCUUCAUAGGCCGAUUUUGUUUAUGAUUCUUCUUAUCAACUUAAUAUUCCUUUAUCUCAUUCCAGAAGUGUGUGAGAUGCCCCCCACCACCCUUGAGAUUGUUGUAUGAUUCCAAUGUUGGGCUUUUAAAACUGUUUCGGGAGGGGAGAGCUACACUACAUUCAGCAGUGAUGAGUAGUGACUUCAUUCACAAGAAAUGAAAAUAAACUCACCUGCUUAAUUUUUAGCUCUACUUUUUUGUUAAGAAAUUUCAGUAUCUGGCAAUGGAAAAAUUGGUAUUGGAAAUUCUGGCAGCAAAGUAUUGUUUAUUUAAAAAUAAAAAUCUGUCCACUGAAA
This is a long non-coding RNA of Colius striatus (speckled mousebird), 5555 nucleotides long. RefSeq lists it as uncharacterized. The record is from RefSeq and is a predicted model, not a curated record. The transcript has 2 exons. Lineage: Eukaryota; Metazoa; Chordata; Aves; Coliiformes; Coliidae.